This 85-nucleotide transfer RNA is filed under the name Gammaproteobacteria bacterium. RNAcentral describes it as "tRNA-Leu". It matches the Rfam family "tRNA". Rfam says of the family: Transfer RNA (tRNA) molecules are approximately 80 nucleotides in length. Their secondary structure includes four short double-helical elements and three loops (D, anti-codon, and T loops). The record is from RNAcentral. RNAcentral also lists the same sequence under 3 other names. Lineage: Bacteria; Pseudomonadati; Pseudomonadota; Gammaproteobacteria.
ACCCAUGUGGUGGAAUUGGUAGACACGCUACCUUGAGGUGGUAGUGGCGAAAGCCUUGGGAGUUCGAGUCUCCCCGUGGGUACCA